AUCUUGAAAACGGAAAAUAAAAACAGCAGACCUAUGAAGGUCGAAGGGGAAGAAAAGCUGUAUCGAUUGUUGAGAUCUGGCGACUUGUUUAAAUUUCAUCAGCCUCACUUCUAUGAACUCUCAGGACAAACUGCAACAGAGUCACAUCGAGUUGAGACUUCUCCAAGGGCCAUGGGGUUGACAUCUGUAUUCUCAGGCCUCACGUGUACCAGCUCUCUGCUCUCCUUUGCCUUGGGACGUUCCAUCCCUGGAAGUUUCCCUGCCCACAUCUUUGUAGAGAGUCCAUUCUCCAAGCUUCAGUGUGUCAUCUGUGAGGACCGUGACCCACCUGGUACAUCGCCUCAGGGCAUUCAUUUCAGGCUCCUUCUAAAUGGCCAAGUUUUCAAGAUUGUUUUGGCUCUAGCAAAACAAGUUGGAACAUUCACAUCAUCCAAGACAACACCAACAUUUUUGUAAUGGCCUGCAAGGCCUUCCGAGAUCUACCUCCUGCAACUCAGCUUCUCCUGUGCUCUCCUUCUGGACUCACUCUGCCUCAGCAACACUGGUCCCUGUUGCCCCACCAAUAUGCCAGCUGCACUGAUGAGGAAACUGAAACAGAAAAUCCAGAGUAAAUUCCACCAGGCCACACAGCAAGGUCUGAUAGAGCCAGGAGAGACUUUAUGAAAUCCAGACUCUCACACUAAUGCUCUAUCAGCUAGACCUCCAUGUGAGUCUCCCCAAUGUAGGUAGGAAGUGCUUUCCCUAAAAUGCUCAUAAAGCAAAUCAGAGCAAUGCUGCAUUCCAUGUGAUUUCUAAUUUGAAAUGCAAACAAUUGCCAAUUUGUUUGACUUGUAUUUAUAAUUAUUUCCUUGUGAAUUACUCAUCACUAAAUGCUUUAUAAAUAUUUUCUCUUUUUUUCCUCAAUGUCUAUGGAAUGAUCACAGCAUAGAAAAUGUUGGCUUUCAAGGAUUUAUUAAUAUCUCCUUUUGAAAUAACAUGUAUUUGUAAGACAGAAUAAAAUCACUUUAAAGAAACAAA
RNAcentral lists this long non-coding RNA (1017 nucleotides) under Homo sapiens (human). RNAcentral describes it as "testis expressed 41". Lineage: Eukaryota; Metazoa; Chordata; Mammalia; Primates; Hominidae. The record is from RNAcentral.